Molecule: ribosomal RNA, 253 nt
Filed under: uncultured bacterium
Lineage: Bacteria
Description: partial 16S ribosomal RNA
Rfam family: Bacterial small subunit ribosomal RNA
Source: RNAcentral
UACGUAGGGGGCGAGCGUUGUCCGGAUUUACUGGGCGUAAAGCGCGUGUAGGCGGCCGGAUAAGUCGGGUGUGAAAGCCCGGGGCUCAACCCCGGGAUGCCGCCCGAGACUGCUCGGCUUGAGGACGGAAGAGGGGAGUGGAAUUCCUGGUGUAGCGGUGAAAUGCGUAGAGAUCAGGAGGAACACCCGUGGCGAAGGCGGCUCCCUGGUCCGUCCCUGACGCUGAGACGCGAAAGCGCGGGGAGCGAACGGG